Molecule: long non-coding RNA, 337 nt
Filed under: Brassica napus (rape)
Lineage: Eukaryota; Viridiplantae; Streptophyta; Magnoliopsida; Brassicales; Brassicaceae
Description: long non-coding RNA (BNAP_LNC005830)
Source: RNAcentral
UUUUCAACCUGUUUUAUUUCGCUAACGCCAUUUUCACUCUAAAAACAAUAUAAGGUAGUUGCGCCUAUAUAAAAAUAGUUUGGUAAAAAUCCAACCAAUAUAUAGAGAACAAAGGUUCAUAACUGGAACUGAGAAAAAUGAAUAAAACGGUCCUCACAUAUAAAUGGAUUUUGAACAGCAGUGAUGGCUAACUUCUGUUUCCCUGAAAGUCUAUUUACCUACCAUAGAGAAGAAGUCUAAUCAUAUCAUAGACUAGUGAAAAUCACCAUGAAAUGAGGGUUUGCAUAUACCUCCCGACAACAAAAUCACAUGUUUUUCUUGAACUUAAGUUAAAAAA